This 497-nucleotide ribosomal RNA is filed under the name uncultured bacterium. Its description in RNAcentral is "partial 16S ribosomal RNA". It matches the Rfam family "Bacterial small subunit ribosomal RNA", at positions 28 to 507 of the family's 1533-position model. The record is from RNAcentral.
GACGAACGCUGGCGGCGUGCCUAAUACAUGCAAGUUGAGCGCUGAAGGUUGGUACUUGUACCAACUGGAUGAGCAGCGAACGGGUGAGUAACGCGUGGGGAAUCUGCCUUUGAGCGGGGGACAACAUUUGGAAACGAAUGCUAAUACCGCAUAAAAACUUUAAACACAAGUUUUAAGUUUGAAAGAUGCAAUUGCAUCACUCAAAGAUGAUCCCGCGUUGUAUUAGCUAGUUGGUGAGGUAAAGGCUCACCAAGGCGAUGAUACAUAGCCGACCUGAAAGGGUGAUCGGCCACAUUGGGACUGAGACACGGCCCAAACUCCUACGGGAGGCAGCAGUAGGGAAUCUUCGGCAAUGGACGAAAGUCUGACCGAGCAACGCCGCGUGAGUGAAGAAGGUUUUCGGAUCGUAAAACUCUGUUGGUAGAGAAGAACGUUGGUGAGAGUGGAAAGCUCAUCAAGUGACGGUAACUACCCAGAAAGGGACGGCUAACUACGUG